Molecule: transfer RNA, 71 nt
Filed under: Loxodonta africana (African savanna elephant)
Lineage: Eukaryota; Metazoa; Chordata; Mammalia; Proboscidea; Elephantidae
Rfam family: tRNA
About the family: Transfer RNA (tRNA) molecules are approximately 80 nucleotides in length. Their secondary structure includes four short double-helical elements and three loops (D, anti-codon, and T loops).
Source: Rfam by way of RNAcentral
GCAUUGGUGGUUCAGUGAUAGAAUUUUUGCUUUCAAUGUGGGAGAACCUGGUUCAAUUCCCAGCCAAUGCA